GCUUGUGUGAUGGACUGGACAACAGCUCCAGAUGUGUAAAUCAUUCAAUCUUCAAACAGGCUGGAGUUGGAAACUACAGCCUUGUUUAUGAGAAGCCUUGUCUUCCUACAGUCUUAUCCCUUGUAAAAAGACGCACCUCCACGUUUUGGGUCGCCAUGACAUCUUGG
Perca fluviatilis (European perch) is the source of this 167-nucleotide long non-coding RNA. RefSeq lists it as uncharacterized. The record is from RefSeq and is a predicted model, not a curated record. The transcript has 3 exons. Lineage: Eukaryota; Metazoa; Chordata; Actinopteri; Perciformes; Percidae.